UACGAACCGUACAAGCGUUAUUCGGAAUCACUGGGCUUAAAGGGUGCGUAGGCGGCCAUGUACGUGAGGUGUGAAAUCCCUCGGCUCAACCGAGGAACUGCGCUUCAUACUGCAUGGCUUGAGGGAGACAGGGGUAAGCGGAACUGAUGGUGGAGCGGUGAAAUGCGUUGAUAUCAUCAGGAACACCGGUGGCGAAAGCGGCUUACUGGGUCUCUUCUGAGGCUGAGGUACGAAAGCUAGGGGAGCGAACGGG
Molecule: ribosomal RNA, 253 nt
Filed under: uncultured bacterium
Lineage: Bacteria
Description: partial 16S ribosomal RNA
Rfam family: Bacterial small subunit ribosomal RNA
Source: RNAcentral